GUGUAUUCCUGUGCAGUACGAAGGUUCUGUGGUUGUGCUGCUAACGGCGCGAUGCUGAAUUCAGCGGCAAAUGGUGGAAGUCAUCUCCUUGUCCAGCGGAAGGGACACGUUGUAGCUCCCUGUUGUGCAGUGAAGGCCAACUCCAGUGUUGGACUGGUGGACAUAGCUCAACCACAAUCUCAGACGCAGUGACCACCUACGUGGGGGCUGGAGUCCAGCUGGGUCCACUCGGC
Long non-coding RNA from Cryptotermes secundus, 233 nucleotides. RefSeq lists it as uncharacterized. Lineage: Eukaryota; Metazoa; Arthropoda; Insecta; Blattodea; Kalotermitidae. The record is from RefSeq and is a predicted model, not a curated record. The transcript is spliced from 4 exons.